This 260-nucleotide long non-coding RNA is filed under the name Setaria viridis. RNAcentral's name for it is "long non-coding RNA (SVIR_LNC007158)". Lineage: Eukaryota; Viridiplantae; Streptophyta; Magnoliopsida; Poales; Poaceae. The record is from RNAcentral.
UGGAAUCGGAUGCUGUGUAGCUUGGAUUGGAAAGCUCGCACUCAUUGAAUUUGGAGAGGGAGGAAACGAGCGGAGGAUUUUGUGAUGCUGUGCUGCCGGUGCCUGCUCUGCUAUGCUUCUUGCUUCCUUGCCGAGAGAAAGCGCUCGGAAUGGGAGGAGCGGGAGAAGGCAAUAUGGUCAUUUUGCAGUGUGUCGUGGGGAAAGCCGCAUUUUCACCGCGGGCAAUAAGCAAAUUCGAUGAGUAAGAAUGUGUUGUGUAC